RNAcentral lists this ribosomal RNA (485 nucleotides) under uncultured bacterium. RNAcentral's name for it is "partial 16S ribosomal RNA". It matches the Rfam family "Bacterial small subunit ribosomal RNA", at positions 29 to 507 of the family's 1533-position model. The record is from RNAcentral.
AUCGAACGCUGGCGGCAUGCCUAACACAUGCGAGUCGAACGGAAACGAUGGAUCUUGCUCCGGGCGUCGAGUUGCGGACGGGUGAGUAACGCUUGGGAAUCUGCCUUUUGCUGGGGGGUAACGUUGGGAAACGUACGCUAAUACCGCAUAAGACCUAAGGGUGAAAGCGGGGGCCCGCAAGGGCUCGCCGCGAGAGAUGAGCACAUGUUGGCUAAGCCGGUUGGUGGGGUAUAGGCCUACCGAGUCGACGGUCCAUAGCUGGUCUGAGAGGAUGAUCAGCCACACUGGGAAUGAGACACGGCCCAGACUCGGACGGGAGGCAGGAGUGGGGAAUAUUGGACAGGGGGGGGAACGCUGUACCAGCAAUGGCGCGAGUGUGAAGAAGGGCUUCGGGGUGUAAAGCACUUUGAGUAGGGAGGAAAGGUGCGUAGUUAAUACCGGUGAAAUUGACGGUACCUACAGAAGAAGCACCGGCUAACUCCGUG